Long non-coding RNA from Dreissena polymorpha, 478 nucleotides. RefSeq lists it as uncharacterized. The record is from RefSeq and is a predicted model, not a curated record. Lineage: Eukaryota; Metazoa; Mollusca; Bivalvia; Myida; Dreissenidae. The transcript is spliced from 2 exons.
UUUUUUAACCAGGUUUUCCGAAGGAAAAAACUGGUUAUUAGAUUGGCGAAUGCGGGCGGGCUGGCUGGCUGGCUGGCUGGCGGGCUGGCUGGCUGGCUGGCGGGCUGGCGGAAUAAGCUUGUCCGGGCCAUAACUAUGUCGUUCAUUGUCAGAUUUUAAAAUCAUUUGGCACAUUUGUUCACCAUCAUUGGACGGUGUGUCGCGCGAAAUAAUUACGUCGAUAUCUCCAAGGUCAAGGUCACACUUUGAGUUCAAAGGUCAAAAAUGGCCAUAAAUGAGCUUGUCCUGGCCAUAACUAUGUCAUUCAUUGUGAGAUUUUAAAAUCAUUUGGCACAUUUGUUCACCAUCAUGGGACGGUGUGUCCCACGAAAGAAUCACGUCAAUAUCUCCAAUGUCAAGGUCGCCACGACUAAAAAUAGAUUUAAAAAAAAAAAAAAAUUACAAAGGGGGUUAAUUUUUUUUGGUCAUUUCAAAAGUU